This is a non-coding RNA of Vicia faba (fava bean), 333 nucleotides long. NCBI's taxonomy places the organism in Eukaryota, Viridiplantae, Streptophyta, Magnoliopsida, Fabales, Fabaceae. The record is from the annotation of a GenBank genome assembly.
AUGCCAUCUGCUUCGAAGGCUAACCUUGAAUUUCCCAUAAAUCACUCCUCUCUUGAUAUUUCUCUCAAGCGUUAUAAUGUUGAUACAUACUCAAGACUAACAAGCAUGAUUCUAUCACAAACUGAGCAUUGCAAAAGGAUUAACAAGUAUUUGACAACACUGACAGAGAGGGAAAAAUGGUUGUCUAUCAGAGAAUCAAACUCAUUUUUAACGCUGAAAAUGGUACUUAACUUCCUUAAGUUCUUAAUUUUAUUUGCCAUUUCUCUCUUUGAUAAAAAACCAGUUUCUAGUUGUUACACUCCUGGAAAAAAUGUUUCAAUGGACAAAUCAUAA